This is a long non-coding RNA of Liolophura sinensis, 329 nucleotides long. RefSeq lists it as uncharacterized. The record is from RefSeq and is a predicted model, not a curated record. Lineage: Eukaryota; Metazoa; Mollusca; Polyplacophora; Chitonida; Chitonidae. The transcript has 3 exons.
UGCCGAGGUUUUGAGUCCGAGAGACAGACCCCCUGGACACUUUGUAUACAGUUGUGACACAGACACUCAAGAUGAAGCUCGCUGCCGUGUUUCUUGUCAGUGCUCUAAUUCUGGCAACACUGGGUGGUUCAAACGCCUUCUGCCAGGAGCAGUGUUACGACAGCCAACAUGGCAGCUCUCAAUGCCGGGGUGAACACACGUGUAUGUGUCAUAACGGUAUAGCUAUGUGUGACGGUGUCAUGGCCAGUCCCAUCCCGCCCCAUCACUGAGACCACCACACCUUAUGGGGCAAGUUGUCACGCGAAUCAUCAUGGCUGCAUGUAAACCGA